UGAUCCAAAAUGUUCUCGUGUGGUUUCUCAUGCUCAUAAUGAAGCCAUCAGGGGAGCAGAGACCCAGAGCUAUCAAAAACUCAACAACCAACCAAACACUUCAACACAGAGAAUGAUAUUAGGAAUUUGCACUGAAAACACUCCCCCUAGCAUCUACCGGACAAAUCACGUCAAAAGUUGCUCAUCAGGGUGCUUCACCAAAACCUUAAACUAAUUACACUUCAUUGGGAACAAAUCAAUCAUGAAAGACAAGGAUAACAAACAACACAGACACAGUCCAGAAUCGCCAAUGAACCACUAUCAACAUGCGAUGCACUUAAGAACGAGCAAGAAAACAAGACAAGGGGACCAUUCGCCCCAACACAAGAAAGCCCAAGAACACAACAAGAAAACACCCACAGGAAUUACAAAUACCAACAAACACCCCACACUUAAAAUCUGGCACUGUCCUCAGUGCAAACAAAAAGAGGGGUGAAAGAGGAAACUUCCC
RNAcentral lists this long non-coding RNA (490 nucleotides) under Salvia miltiorrhiza (redroot sage). RNAcentral describes it as "long non-coding RNA (SMIL_LNC004282)". The record is from RNAcentral. Lineage: Eukaryota; Viridiplantae; Streptophyta; Magnoliopsida; Lamiales; Lamiaceae.